This is a long non-coding RNA of Priapulus caudatus, 524 nucleotides long. RefSeq lists it as uncharacterized. NCBI's taxonomy places the organism in Eukaryota, Metazoa, Priapulida, Priapulimorpha, Priapulimorphida, Priapulidae. The record is from RefSeq and is a predicted model, not a curated record. The transcript has 3 exons.
CCUUCAUUCUCCGUUAUCACCUACCAACGCCACGUUUGCAGAUACCGAGUACAGAGGUGAGCUUCGCUACGUGGAUAUGGCCCAAGUCUUUGUCAAGGACAUUUGGCGUUCUAUGUAAGAAGACGAAUAAGGGGAGGAGAGGGAGGAGGAAGAAUAAAACGGCGAAGAAUAAGCAGGAGAAGAAGAAAGGGAGAAGGAAUGAGAAGAUGAAGACAAAGAAGAAAAGGAGUAGUAGGAAGACGAGGAGCAUCAAAAGUUGUGCUUCAGCCAAUCACUGUACCACUGUCAACAGGCGAGAUCAACUGACUGAAUCGUUGCAACGAACACUUAAGAGCGAUAUAACAGCUCACCAGCUCUACAAAAACUGGCUUCUUUCUGGCGAGAUCUAUGACACGUGACAUCCUUCUUCGCCAGUCAGUACUCCAUUUUCUCUCGGAGUGUCUCAUGGAAUGUGCAAGGUUUCCUUUACUCUCCGUUAUCGCCUAUACAAGCGCCACGAUUACAGGACAUUGACAUUUUGUGUA